CGGAGGAUCCAAGCGUUAUCCGGAAUCAUUGGGUUUAAAGGGUCCGUAGGCGGUUUAGUAAGUCAGUGGUGAAAGCCCAUCGCUCAACGGUGGAACGGCCAUUGAUACUGCUAAACUUGAAUUAUUAGGAAGUAACUAGAAUAUGUAGUGUAGCGGUGAAAUGCUUAGAGAUUACAUGGAAUACCAAUUGCGAAGGCAGGUUACUACUAAUGGAUUGACGCUGAUGGACGAAAGCGCGGGUAGCGAACAGGAUUAGAUACCCUGGUAGUCCACGCCGUAAACGAUGGAUACUAGCUGUUGGGGGCAACUUCAGUGGCUAAGCGAAAGUGAUAAGUAUCCCACCUGGGGAGCACGUUCGCAAGAAUG
RNAcentral lists this ribosomal RNA (366 nucleotides) under uncultured organism. Its description in RNAcentral is "bacterial SSU rRNA". It matches the Rfam family "Bacterial small subunit ribosomal RNA", at positions 526 to 896 of the family's 1533-position model. The record is from RNAcentral.